RNAcentral lists this ribosomal RNA (312 nucleotides) under Triticum aestivum (bread wheat). RNAcentral's name for it is "partial small subunit ribosomal RNA". Lineage: Eukaryota; Viridiplantae; Streptophyta; Magnoliopsida; Poales; Poaceae. The record is from RNAcentral.
AUGAAUCUCAUGAGCUGGAACUGCCGGGGAGGGGGAAAUUCCCGGACAGUUCGCGAGCUAGCGACGCUAGUGCAGUCGCAUUCCCCCAGGAUGGUGUUUUUGUGUGAGACAAGACAAAAAUAAGAGAAAAUGAGAAGAUUGAGAGGCUGGCUAGGCCUCAAAGGCUUUACUAGUGUGCACAUCAAUGGCCUCAGCGGGGGCCUUGCUCUCUUUUGGCAUGAAAAUCUGCUAGUGGAUAUUCUGGACAAGGAUAUGAUCGAUACAUCGAUGUGGUGGUUCAUUUACAUGCUGACGCCGAACCAUGGAGGGUAA